AUUGAACGCUGGCGGCAUGCUUUACACAUGCCAGUCGAACGGUAACAGGCCGCCAGGUGCUGACGAGUGGCGAACGGGUGAGUAAUGCAUCGGAAAGUGCCCCGUCGCGGGGGAUAACUACUCGAAAGAGUAGCUAAUACCGCAUACGAUCUAUGGAUGAAAGCGGGGGACCGUAAGGCCUCGCGCGAUUGGAGCGGGCGAUGUCAGAUUAGGUCGUUGGUGGGGUAAAGGCUCACCAAGCCAACGAUCUGUAGCUGGUCUGAGAGGACGACCACCCACACUGGGGCUGAGACACGGCCCAGACUCCUACGGGAGGCAGCAGUGGGGAAGUUUGGACAAUGGGCGCAAUCCUGAUCCAGCAAUGCCGCGUGCAGGAAGAAGGCCUUCGGGUUGUAAACUGCUUUUGUACGGAACGAAACGGCUCUGGUUAAUACCCGGGGCUAAUGACGGUACCGUAAGAAUAAGCACCGGCUAACUACGUG
RNAcentral lists this ribosomal RNA (482 nucleotides) under uncultured bacterium. RNAcentral's name for it is "partial 16S ribosomal RNA". It matches the Rfam family "Bacterial small subunit ribosomal RNA", at positions 30 to 507 of the family's 1533-position model. The record is from RNAcentral.